RNAcentral lists this ribosomal RNA (196 nucleotides) under uncultured bacterium. RNAcentral's name for it is "partial 16S ribosomal RNA". It matches the Rfam family "Bacterial small subunit ribosomal RNA", at positions 337 to 525 of the family's 1533-position model. The record is from RNAcentral.
UCCUACGGGAGGCAGCAGUAGGGAAUCCUCCACAAUGGGCGAAAGCCUGAUGGAGCAACGCCGCGUGAGUGAAGAAGGUUUUCGGAUCGUAAAACUCUGUUGUAAGGGAAGAACAAGUACAGUAGUAACUGGCUGUACCUUGACGGUACCUUAUUAGAAAGCCACGGCUAACUACGUGCCAGCACCCGCGGUAAUA